This 1509-nucleotide long non-coding RNA is filed under the name Papio anubis (olive baboon). Its description in RNAcentral is "lncRNA (ENSPANG00000049535.1)". Lineage: Eukaryota; Metazoa; Chordata; Mammalia; Primates; Cercopithecidae. The record is from RNAcentral.
AGAGCAGUAAUGUGGAGUAAUGAUGAUGAGGAACUUGAAUGUUUUAUUUCAAAUAUAUCUGUAGUGUAUGAAUUGUUUACCACAAAAGAUAUCUAUUUUUCUAUUAGAUUGAAAGGAAAGGAAAAAGUCAAUAUGAUGGGUCUUGCUUUUUAAAGUGUACUGAGGUGGCAGAAACAAGUAGCUUAUUUUAUAAUACAAAGGAGGAUGCAUUUUGUUUAUAGAUUCUGGAUGAAAUUACAAAAGAUAAUGCGUUUGGAAGACAGAAAAAAGCCCAUAAGCUAAAAUCAAAAGUACAUCUCUUAUGGUAGUUGGCUCUUAUUUUACUCACAUACUCCAAACUAAUCCAAAUAUUUAUCAACAACCAGGAAAAGAAUAUCUACUUCCCAUAGCUACUAGAAAGGAAAGAUAACUCUGCCUUUCAGGGACCACAAGUUUGUGCUUUUGGGUAUUCCUAAAGUCCAUUAAGCCUGUACACUGCAUUAUAGGAAAGUCAGGACAUAUUGUUACCUAAUCAUACAAAGAAAAUGCAUGUGGUAUUUCAGCGUAGUUCUUACCUUCCUAAGUAGAGUUCUUACACAUGUGUAAGGGAGAUAGGUACUGAGAAAGGGAGAGUGGGAAUGUGAAGUGAUGCGUAACAUGCAACUUAGUAGGAAUUUUGACCUGUCUGGUCUUUCUCUGGGUUGGGCACAGCUUGACAGGCUUAUGUGUGGAUCACCACAUACCCUCACUUCCCCUUCCCUACCUCUUCCUCCUUUCUGGUUUUGUGGGAUAGGAUAUAAAUGACAUCUUCAAAGCAUGAGAAGCCACUUAUCUUCAGACUUGUAGGCAGCAGCUCACCCUCAUGUGCAAGUCUUCUGGCUCUGGAAACAACUCUAGCUCAGCCUUCUCCAUCAUGAGCCUCAGACUCAAUGCCACCCCUUCCUGUAACAGUGCCAGACCAUUUUGUGCCCUGCAGGUGUUGCUGCUUCUGUCACUGCUGCUGACUGCUCUGCCUUCCUGCACCAAUGGGCAAAAGUCAUGCUGAAAGAUGAGAGGAAAAUGUGCCUGGACCCAGAAGCUCCCAGAAUCAAGAAGAUAGUCCAGAAAAUGUUGGAAGGUGAUGGGUCAGCUGCUUAAUCUGUUCACUUUCUGCCAAACCUGUUUACCUCCCAGGAAGGGCAAGAUUUUAAAGACUUUCUAGAAUUCCUAUUUUAUCUUACUGUGUUAAAAUUACUCUUACUGUGUUACAAUUCAGGUAUUUUUCCAUUCUGUCUCAAAAAUCAUAUUUUAUUCUGAGAAGGCUGGUUAAAAGAUGACAGAAAGAUGAAAAUAAGCAAGCCUAGUUUCAACAUAGUAUAUGGUUUACUCUCUAAUUCCUGGCUAACCAUUGCACAGUACUUUACUCUCUUUAUUUGAGAAUCUCCUUCCAAACACAUUUUUGUUGAUUUUUCUUGCUCUAUUUUACUGUUAGGCUAGACAUGCCCAUGAUAAUUAAUAGACUUUAUAAUGGUCAAUGAUAUAAGAACUCAC